GACGAACGCUGGCGGCGUGCCUAAUACAUGCAAGUUGAGCGCUGAAGGUUGGUACUUGUACCAACUGGAUGAGCAGCGAACGGGUGAGUAACGCGUGGGGAAUCUGCCUUUGAGCGGGGGACAACAUUUGGAAACGAAUGCUAAUACCGCAUAAAAACUUUAAACACAAGUUUUAAGAUUGAAAGAUGCAAUUGCAUCACUCAAAGAUGAUCCCGCGUUGUAUUAGCUAGUUGGUGAGGUAAAGGCUCACCAAGGCGAUGAUACAUAGCCGACCUGAGAGGGUGAUCGGCCACAUUGGGAAUGAGACAAGGCCCAAACCCCUACGGGAGGCAGCAGUAGGGAAUCUUCGGCAAUGGACGAAAGUCUGAACGAGCAACGCCGCGUGAGUGAAGAAGGUUUUCGGAUCGUAAAACUCUGUUGGUAGAGAAGAACGUUGGUGAGAGUGGAAAGCUCAUCAAGUGACGGUAACUACUCAGAAAGGGACGGCUAACUACGUG
RNAcentral lists this ribosomal RNA (497 nucleotides) under uncultured bacterium. Its description in RNAcentral is "partial 16S ribosomal RNA". It matches the Rfam family "Bacterial small subunit ribosomal RNA", at positions 28 to 507 of the family's 1533-position model. The record is from RNAcentral.